CCUGCCAGUACUGGUUAGGCAAAGUGUACUUGUAGCCAUUAGUAGUCCAGUCUGCUUAUCGGGCUCAAUCUGUUUCUAAUGGCAACCUUUGCAGUGACAGCAUUGUUCCCAUCUGUGCUCACAUGAGAGGUUUUAAAUCUUAGCUUUUAAAGUUCUGAAAUAACCUUACAGACACAAUUAUUUACUUUCUUAGGAAUUCUUCCAGCUGGUGUACAGCAACCCGGUGUACCUGCAACAAGCAAGCUGGCCCCUACCUUCUGCCCAGCAAGCCAAAUAACAGUUAGCCAGUAUUGCCUCUAAGUACAACAGAUAACAUUGACUUGGUAUCUUAAAUUUGUUCUCUUAAACUACCCACAGUUCUCCUAUCCAUAUAAUAAACGAUGGCUCUACUUCUCCUUCUCGGAGCGAGCUGAUCUACUAAGACUGAGACAGCAGCAAUGUUUGGAGAAGUCAGAAGAGAAAGAGGAAAACUCUGAGUCCUGAGGUGUCUGUAGAACAACUGAUUACACAAAAUGCAUUUCGCAAGCACCUUCUCUCAUGAUCACCUGAGCUCAUGAGAAACUAAGGAAGGAUCAUAAAGAUGUUGGUUGGAAGGAGCCCCAACCUGACGCUUGGAGCAGGACUUAGACCAGUAGUAGCUCAAGUUCAGCCUAUUGUACGCAAAUAGCCGUUAAGCAUGUAUCCUCCAAACCAGACUUACUGUCAUUCCAGAGCACCAUCUGGGAUGGAACUUGCAAAUCAAACAUCUUAAGGAAAAAUGGGCAGAUAAUACAAGAAUGUGACUUGUAACUGGUGCCAAUUAUUACUGGUAUUGCUGCUUUGUUCCCAGGCCUGCUCACCAGGCUACAGACCCGAACCAGAGGAAAAGGAAAACAGCAUACGCUAUUCCAUUAGCAAUCCCUUAAUUUUGCCAGUGGGACACUCAGUAAUCUCACAAUGUUUCAAACCCAGUAUGUUCUCUCACUUCCUCUACCAAAACCAAAAUAUGUUGUAAGGUCACGUUUUCUAAAUUUUACAAACAGAUGUUAUUGCUCGUAUGUGAUUGUACCGCUCACCAAAUACUUUUAGGAAAACAAAAUUAGCAAGCGAUUGAUUUCUUUUCCAUAAUGAAUGUUAACAUAGUUUUCAACACGUAGUAGAUUUUUUUUUACCCCACAGUACGUUCUCUGUAUAUACAUGAAUUUAUAUUAGAAUAUAAUGGAUCACAAAUAAGUAAUUUUUUGCAAGAAUGGGAUAAUAAUAAUGUGGAAAAACCAAGAGCCAUUUAAAAACAAGUUAUAUACUCUGAGGAAAAAUAAAAGACCUAGAAAGAAGCAAACAUGUAUUUAUAUAUUCAUACAUAUUUAUAUAAAUUUUUAAAUUAAUUUUUCUAGUUCACUUGAAGAUGAUUAUGGAUAAUAUAAGCAAAUCCAGAUCAAGUUAUAUUUGAUCUUAAAUAUUCGUUUAUAGCUUUGCGUUAAAAAGAUUCCAUCCAUGAUUUCCAUUUUCUGAGUCAGUAUUAAGACUCAGUUCUAAAUUGGUCCCUUUCUUCCAAGAACCCAUAUGAGCUCAAAUAUCAAUGGUUAUCCAGAGACACUGCCUUUACAGUUAAUAAUGUAUGCAACUAAUCUUUGGCCAAAAAGAAGAAAUGGUAGAUUCUGGAUUUGACUUUUUCUUUUCUCUAAAAAUCAACCAGAAAUGCAGUCUGGUUUUCUUCACACCACAGAAGAGGCAGUUAGCCUAGUACUGAGCUUAUUUAGGUUAUCAUUACACCAGUGUCAAUGAAGAUACUCUUCUGUUACUGUGGAACCACUGAGAAGAAAAUUAGGCCAAUUUCUGCACACAGACAGCAAUGAAGGAACCAUUUAGGAAUACCACAUCUAAAUUUAAUAAAUCUAUGCCACAUAUUGCUCUGCAAUUCAGACUGAUCUCAUAUAAAUUGUAUGCCUAAAUGACAUACUAAUUCUAGAUUUGAAAAAAAAAGAAAAAGUCUUUUUUUGUGAGGGCAAACCCUGGAACAGCAAGAGUUUGAACUGGUUUUGUAAUUGUGGUAUUUCUAAAACAUGCCUACCUCCCCGCCAAGUAUUGUAGGAACAUAAUUUUUCCUAUGUAGGGGGUUGUAUAUUCAUAGAUAAGGAUCUAUAUCUGUAUAUAGAAGGGGAAGAAAGGGAGCAAAACCAAGAACGGUAUAAAAGAAACUAGACUUCUACUACCUUUGCAGCCUUAGGAUCUUGAAUAAAAGCUCUGACAGGUGUGAGAAACUAUGACACAAUACUAGUCAGAGGCUAGAUGACCUUUUUAUAUACAAUGAUUUGUAAGGCUCAUGUCACCUCGGCGUUAACGUCUGCAUUAGAUGAUCUAACCCAGACAAGUUAUUUAGGCUCCAUUAUAGUCAACAGAGGAAGAUAUGCACUUGGAAAAGGCAGUUUCAUCUUGCCCACAUUAGAGCACAGAAAAAUGUGGUCGCAGCAGCAGUGAAACACAGGAGGAAGGUACAAUCCUAACAGGAAAGUGAGAUGAUCAGCCACAGGAAGAAUGCAUGGAAAAUGGUUGCAUUAUGGUAAUGGUGUUAUAUUGAUUUUUUCAGCAUCCUGCAAAGGAAUCUUAGCAAGAUUUUUGAGGACAAAGUUGUCAUAUGUGUUCCCCCUCCAACAUCAAUUUUAUCAUUAAUUUUGAAAGGUAACUUCACAUGAAGUAACAAACCUCAUCGUUGUAUAAUUCUGAGCAUAAUGGAAAUACAAAACAUGCUGCAAAAUUAAUGUAGAUGUAAUGAAAUCACUGAAGAAACUCUCUCUUGUGGUGUAGCGGGACAGCUUCAGACAUGCCAAUUGGCUUAUAUAGGCAAGGCUAGGCACAAUUUAGCCUGACUACUUCAGUUUAUCAGUAUUAAUGUAUGAAGAGCACUGUUUGUUGUGGGAUUUAGUUGUCUCAUUUCACCCUGCAUUCACUCUCUUUUUUGUUGUUUUCCUUUUCAGUACAUUUUUUAAAAAUUUCAGUUAUCAAACUGUUCUUAUCUCAACCCAUGAGUUUUCUUACUUUUGCCCUUCCGAUGCUCUCCCCCAUCCCAGCGGGGCGGGUGAGAGAGAGGC
Molecule: non-coding RNA, 3068 nt
Organism: Phalacrocorax carbo (great cormorant)
Lineage: Eukaryota; Metazoa; Chordata; Aves; Suliformes; Phalacrocoracidae
Source: RefSeq, a predicted model, not a curated record